This is a long non-coding RNA of Clupea harengus (Atlantic herring), 1335 nucleotides long. Lineage: Eukaryota; Metazoa; Chordata; Actinopteri; Clupeiformes; Clupeidae. The record is from Ensembl.
UCCCUCAUCUGGUUGUUCUCCUCCAGUCUCCGGCUCUUUUUCCUCUUGUGGUUCUCCAGUUUCCGGUUCUUUUUCCUCUUGUGGCUGUUCUCCUUCAGACUCCGGUUCUUGUGGUUCUCCUUCAGUACCCGGUUCUUUUCCCUCUUGUGGUUCUCCUUCAGUACCCGGUUCUUUUCCCUCUUCUGUUUGUUGUCCCUCUUCAGUCUCUGGUUCUUUUUCCUUUUGUGGUUCUUCUUCAGUCUCCGGUUCUUGUGGUUCUCCUUCAGUCUCCGGUUCUUGUGGUUCUCCUUCAGUCUCCGAUUCUUUUUCCUCUUGUGGUUCUUUUUCCUCUUGUUGUUCUCCUUCAGUCUCCGAUUCUUUUUCCUCUUGUGGUUCUUUUUCCUCUUGUGGUUCUCCUUCAGUCUCCGUUUCUUUUUCCUCAUCUUGUGGUUCUCUUUCAGUCUCCUGUGGUUCUCUUUCAGUCUCCGGCUCUUUUUCCUCUUGUGGUUCUCCUUCAGUCUCCGGUUCUUUUUCCUCUUGUGGUUCUCCUUCAGCCUCCGGUUCUUUUUCCUCUUGUGGUUCUCCUUCAGCCUCCGGUUCUUUUUCCUCAUCUUGUGGUUCUCCUUCAGUCUCCGGUUCUUGUGGUUCUCCUUCAGUCUCCGGUUCUUGUGGUUCUCCUUCAGUCUCCAGCUCUUUUUCCUCUUGUGGUUGUUCUCCUUCAGCCUCCGGUUCUAUUUCCUCAUCUUGUGGUUCUCCUUCAGUCUCCGGUUCUUGUGGUUCUCCUUCAGUCUCCGGCUCUUUUUCCUCUUGUGGUUGUUCUCCUUCAGCCUCCGGUUCUUUUUCCUCCUGUUGUUCUCCUUCAGUCUCCGGUUCUUUUUCCUCUUGUGGUUCUCCUUCAGUCUCCGGUUCUUUUUCCUCUUGUGGAUCUUUUUCCUCUUGUGGUUCUCCUUCAGUCUCCGGUUCUUUUUCCUCUUGUGGUUCUCCUUCAGUACCCGGUUCUUUUCCCUCUUCUGUUUGUUGUUCUCCUUCAGUCUCUGGUUCUUUUUCCUCUUGUGGUUCUCCUUCAGCCUCCGUUUCUUUUCCCUCUUGUGGUUCUCCUUCAGUCUCCGGUUCUUUUUCCUCAUCUGGUUGUUCUCCUCCAGUCUCCGGUUCUUUUUCCUCUUGUGGUUGUUCUCCUCCAGCCUCCGGUUCUUUUUCCUCUUGUGAUUGUUCUCCUUCAGUCUCCGGUUCUUUUUCCUCUUGUGGUUCUCCUUCAGUCUCCAUUUCUUUUCCCUCAUCUGGUUGUUGACCUUCUUCAGUCUCCGUUUCUUUUCCCUCAUCUGUUUGUUCUCGUUCAGUCUCCAGUUCUUGUGGUGC